CCUACGGGGGGCUGCAGUGGGGAAUUUUGGACAAUGGGGGCAACCCUGAUCCAGCCAUUCCGCGUGAGUGAAGAAGGCCUUCGGGUUGUAAAGCUCUUUUGUCCGGAGCGAAACGGCCGGCCCUAAUACGGUCGUCUACUGACGGUACCGGAAGAAUAAGCACCGGCUAACUACGUGCCAGCAGCCGCGGCAAUACGUAGGGUAUUACUGUGAAUCGGAAUUGCUGGGGGGAAAUCGUGAGCCAGAGGUUAAAUCCCCGGGCUCAACCUGGGAAUGGCAUUUGGGACUGCAAGGCUGGAGUGUGGCAGAGGGGACUAGAAUUCCUGGUGUAGCAGUGAAAUGCGUAGAUAUCAGGAGGAAUACCGAUGGCGAAGGCAGGUCCCUGGGUUAACACUGACGCUCAUGCACGAAAGCGUGGGGAGCAAACAGGAUUAGAUACCCUGGUAGUC
Molecule: ribosomal RNA, 449 nt
Filed under: uncultured bacterium
Lineage: Bacteria
Description: partial 16S ribosomal RNA
Rfam family: Bacterial small subunit ribosomal RNA
Source: RNAcentral